CAGCCUCCCUCCUGACCCAAAAUGACAGAUUAUCCUCGUCCCCAGCAACCUGGCAGCACGUGAAUGGAAACAGCACAGCAAGUCUCUCACUUUCGAUAGAUUGGAUGUCAAGAAUAAAGAGUAAUAUGAUAAUAGCAAGAAGUACCAAAAUAGACUAUUGGAGAUGAGGAGAAUUUCUUAAAAGACAAUAAAAUGGAGAAGUCACUUCGAGGUGAAAGUACUGGCAUUUACUUUAUGGAAGAAAAGAAAAACAGGAAAGAAAUUUAAAUACAACAAGAAAAACUAAUACAUCAAACAUGCCUGAAGUUCAGCCCUGAAUGUAGCCUGUGCUCAAACUGCGAUUCCUACUACACAAAAAUGAGCAAUUAAAAUACAGUGUGAUAGACUCCCACUUCUAGCCAACUGGUACCAGACUUGCCUUCCUGCCAUAAAUAACUGGAAAAAUGGACCAGAUAUAUUAAACAGCUCUUUUCAGGCAUUGGACAGCUGGCAUCUGAGCAAUGUGAUCCUUUGGAGAAGGGAA
Long non-coding RNA from Homo sapiens (human), 523 nucleotides. RefSeq lists it as uncharacterized. The transcript has 3 exons. The record is from RefSeq and is a predicted model, not a curated record. NCBI's taxonomy places the organism in Eukaryota, Metazoa, Chordata, Mammalia, Primates, Hominidae.